Vidua macroura (Pin-tailed whydah) is the source of this 651-nucleotide long non-coding RNA. RefSeq lists it as uncharacterized. The transcript is spliced from 2 exons. Lineage: Eukaryota; Metazoa; Chordata; Aves; Passeriformes; Viduidae. The record is from RefSeq and is a predicted model, not a curated record.
GCGAUCUCCUGCUCCUGGACUGGUUGUCAGGUGUUCCAGUGGUUUUCCAAGGGAAAGUAAGAGGAAUAGCCAAAUCAGCUGUGGAUAGAUAGACAGGACUCACCUCGCCUAAUUGCAGAUGUCUGUAUGGAAGAUGUCUACUCCUGAGCUGCCAAGCAGGGCUCGUUUCAUCAGUCAGAUGCAGAUAUUGAGUUAAAGAGGCUCUGAGAAAUCCAGUUUCUCUCCCCUGAUGAGAAGAGGAGCCCGAGGCUGGCUCAGAUGGAGCAAGGGGCUGGGCAGACACCUGCCUGUGAUCAGCUGUCCAUGUCUUUUCCUUGUUCAAGUACCCCCAUCCAACCUGCUGGUGAAGGAGGAACUGAAGAAGCACCGAUCUCUGGGCAUUCACCAGUACCUGUGGCCACAGGAGCCAAAAUUUGGUUCCUCCACUGGCCAAUGAACAGCCCAUGAAACACCACAGAGGAGGCGUCCACUGGGAACUAUUCAAAGGAAAGCUUGAAGGCACUACAGGGACCAGACCUAGGACUGGUUGCUCCAGCUACCACACCGGUGGUCAAAUGGGGCUGGGUGACCUCUUCAUGCCUUGGGAACAGACAUGACCUUUCCUGCUUUCCCUGCUAUGGAUACGGCCCAUAAAGGGACCCUGCACAGGCA